UGAUUUCUCCCCGUUUCCAGGCCUUGUUGGUCAGACUGUUGGCUCCUGGUUGCUGUGUGAGCCUCUGCCUGACCUCUUUGCUCCCUGGUGCUUGGCACAAGCAGGAGAGGUUGGCUGGCAGAUUGUACAGCCCCAGCCCUUUGUUAAAUUUCCUCUGGAGAAGAAUGAGGUGCAAUUAAGGCCAAUUCUUCAUUAGGAGGAAUGAAGAGCUGAACCGUAACCACUCAGCCCCCUCACAGCAUCCAAACAGAGCUUGGAAAGUGGGGCCAGGCCUCUGCCACCCUUGCCUCCGUCCUCCAGCCCCUGUGCUCAGCAGACUGAGAGCCAAGGACAUGUACCCUCUCCAGGGCUGUCAACCGACCAGUGACAGGAAGCAGGUCUAAAGGCUCAUUUAACUGCAAAACAGCACCUGUCUUUUUAGGCGAGAGCAGGCUUUGCUUGUCAACCCUGUCAGCAGCACGGGCCUUGCCUGGAGGCACCCGAUUGUGUCAGAGGGGUCACACUGAGCACUGCGACACGCAGCACUGGCUGGCAUGGGGGCAGGAGGCUGUCGGCACGUUUUCUCUGCAAGGACAGCGGGAACUCAAGAUCAAAAAUGCUGAAGAUUGGAAACGUCCCAAUAUACUCCUUCUGUCACAUCUACGUUGUUGGACUGUUUUUACCUCCUCACUAAAGAUGGUCAGAGAUGAAGCCAAAUACAAGCAUGAGAGGAAGUUCUAGAGUUGAGAAGCAAAAUUACAUGGCAGGUAUGCACCUGAAUUUCCCUCUCAUGUAAGAGUUAAGCAUCUCAGCCAAGAGCAGGAUGGCCUUUCUCUGGUCUUUUUUUUUUUUUUUCCUUGCUGCAUUAUACACAAAAAUGUAUGUAUGGUAGGGAAAAUGAAGCUCUGUUUUGAAAAAUCUUUGUAAAACAUAAAAUCGAGAAGCUCUACUAAGCUCAUUUUAUUCUGGUGUAUAUCUACUGUAGUUCUGCAUAAGUCAUUGGAAUUGUAUGGCUGGGAGGACAGAAUCAAGAUUCACUAUGAUAAUUUAAAUUUAUAAAUAGGUUGCCCUAUUUAUUUAUUUUUUUAAUAAUAAAGGAAGGUGAAGAGUGUUUUCA
RNAcentral lists this long non-coding RNA (1096 nucleotides) under Anas platyrhynchos platyrhynchos (common mallard). RNAcentral describes it as "lncRNA (ENSAPLG00000018465.1)". Lineage: Eukaryota; Metazoa; Chordata; Aves; Anseriformes; Anatidae. The record is from RNAcentral.